AGGUAAGCUACUAAGAGCGAAUGGUGGAUGCCUUGACUGGUAAAGGCGAUGAAGGACGUACUAGACUGCGAUAAGCUACGGGGAGCUGUCAAGAAGCUUUGAUCCGUAGAUUUCCGAAUGGGGCAACCCAAUGUAUAGAGAUAUACAUUACCUAUAUAGGAGCGAACGAGGGGAAUUGAAACAUCUUAGUACCCUCAGGAAAAGAAAUCAAUAGAGAUUGCGUCAGUAGCGGCGAGCGAAAGCGCAAGAGGGCAAACCCAGUGCUUGCACUGGGGGUUGUAGGACUGCAAUGUGCAAGAGGUAAGUUUAGCAGAACAUUCUGGAAAGUAUAACCAUAGAGGGUGAUAGUCCCGUAUGCGAAAAACAAACCUUAGCUAGCAGUAUCCUGAGUAGGGCGGGACACGAGGAAUCCUGUCUGAAUCCGGGUCGACCACGAUCCAACCCUAAAUACUAAUACCAGAUCGAUAGUGCACAAGUACCGUGAGGGAAAGGUGAAAAGAACUGAGGUGAUCAGAGUGAAAUAGAACCUGAAACCAUUUGCUUACAAUCAUUCAGAGCCUUAUGUAGCAAUACAGGGUGAUGGACUGCCUUUUGCAUAAUGAGCCUGCGAGUUGUGGUGUCUGGCAAGGUUAAGCAAACGCGAAGCCGUAGCGAAAGCGAGUCUGAAUAGGGCGCUUAGUCAGAUGCUGCAGACCCGAAACGAAGUGAUCUAUCCAUGAGCAAGUUGAAGCUAGUGUAAGAACUAGUGGAGGACUGAACCCAUAGGCGUUGAAAAGCCCCGGGAUGACUUGUGGAUAGGGGUGAAAGGCCAAUCAAACUUCGUGAUAGCUGGUUCUCUCCGAAAUAUAUUUAGGUAUAGCGUUGUGUCGUAAUAUAAGGGGGUAGAGCACUGAAUGGGCUAGGGCAUACACCAAUGUACCAAACCCUAUCAAACUCCGAAUACCUUAUAUGUAAUCACAGCAGUCAGGCGGCGAGUGAUAAAAUCCGUCGUCAAGAGGGAAACAACCCAGACUACCAGCUAAGGUCCCUAAAUCUUACUUAAGUGGAAAACGAUGUGAAGUUACUUAAACAACCAGGAGGUUGGCUUAGAAGCAGCCAUCCUUUAAAGAAAGCGUAAUAGCUCACUGGUCUAGUGAUUUUGCGCGGAAAAUAUAACGGGGCUAAAGUAAGUACCGAAGCUGUAGACUUAGUUUACUAAGUGGUAGGAGAGCGUUCUAUUUGCGUCGAAGGUAUACCGGUAAGGAGUGCUGGAGCGAAUAGAAGUGAGCAUGCAGGCAUGAGUAGCGAUAAUUAAUGUGAGAAUCAUUAACGCCGUAAACCCAAGGUUUCCUACGCGAUGCUCGUCAUCGUAGGGUUAGUCGGGUCCUAAGUCGAGUCCGAAAGGGGUAGACGAUGGCAAAUUGGUUAAUAUUCCAAUACCAACAUUAGUGUGCGAUGGAAGGACGCUUAGGGCUAAGGGGGCUAGCGGAUGGAAGUGCUAGUCUAAGGUCGUAGGAGGUUAUACAGGCAAAUCCGUAUAACAAUACUCCGAGAACUGAAAGGCUUUUUGAAGUCUUCGGAUGGAUAGAAGAACCCCUGAUGCCGUCGAGCCAAGAAAAGUUUCUAAGUUUAGCUAAUGUUGCCCGUACCGU
This 1631-nucleotide ribosomal RNA is filed under the name Campylobacter jejuni. RNAcentral describes it as "partial 23S ribosomal RNA". It matches the Rfam family "Bacterial large subunit ribosomal RNA", at positions 1 to 1650 of the family's 2925-position model. Lineage: Bacteria; Pseudomonadati; Campylobacterota; Epsilonproteobacteria; Campylobacterales; Campylobacteraceae. The record is from RNAcentral.